This 496-nucleotide ribosomal RNA is filed under the name uncultured bacterium. RNAcentral describes it as "partial 16S ribosomal RNA". It matches the Rfam family "Bacterial small subunit ribosomal RNA", at positions 29 to 507 of the family's 1533-position model. The record is from RNAcentral.
AUGAACGCUGGCGGCGUGCCUAAUACAUGCAAGUCGAGCGAACGGACGAGAAGCUUGCUUCUCUGAUGUUAGCGGCGGACGGGUGAGUAACACGUGGAUAACCUACCUAUAAGACUGGGAUAACUUCGGGAAACCGGAGCUAAUACCGGAUGAUAUUUUGAACCGCAUGGUUCAAAAGUGAAAGACGGUCUUGCUGUCACUUAUAGAUGGAUCCGCGCUGCAUUAGCUAGUUGGUAAGGUAGCGGCUUACCAAGGCAACGAUGCAUAGCCGACCUGAGAGGGUGAUCGGCCACACUGGAACUGAGACACGGUCCAGACUCCUACGGGAGGCAGCAGUAGGGAAUCUUCCGCAAUGGGCGAAAGCCUGACGGAGCAACGCCGCGUGAGUGAUGAAGGUCUUCGGACCGUAAAACUCUGUUAUUAGGGAAGAACAUAUGUGUAAGUAACUGUGCACAUCUUGACGGUACCUAAUCAGAAAGCCACGGCUAACUACGUG